GGUUGGUUCGAGCGCAGUGGUGUUUUACAACUAAUUGAUCGCAACCAGUUACAGAUUCCUUUGUUCCUUCUCCACUCCCACUGCUCCACUUGACCAGCCUUUA
This 103-nucleotide Y RNA is filed under the name Microcebus murinus (gray mouse lemur). RNAcentral's name for it is "Y RNA (ENSMICG00000042326.1)". It matches the Rfam family "Y RNA". From Rfam's summary of the family: Y RNAs are components of the Ro ribonucleoprotein particle (Ro RNP), in association with Ro60 and La proteins. The Y RNAs and Ro60 and La proteins are well conserved, but the function of the Ro RNP is not known. In humans the RNA component can be one of four small RNAs -- hY1, hY3, hY4 and hY5. Lineage: Eukaryota; Metazoa; Chordata; Mammalia; Primates; Cheirogaleidae. The record is from Rfam by way of RNAcentral.